AACUUUUUGCAAUGGAUCUCUUGGCUCUCGCAUCGAUGGAGAACGCAGCGAAAUGCGAUACGUAAUGUGAAUUGCAGAAUUCAGUGAAUCAUCGAAUCUUUGAACGCACUUUGCACUCUCUGGUAUUCCGGAGUUGAUGCUUGUUUGAGUAUCAGUACACUCCUCAAAUCUCUCUACUUUCGUGUGAGGAGAAUUGGACUGUAGCAAUCUCAACUCUUUUGCCUAAAAGAGGCGGGUUGCUUGAGAUGCAGUUGCAGCUGGACAUUCUUCUGAUCUAUAAGCAUAUUUAUUUAGUCCCGUCAAACGGAUUAUUACUUUUUGCUCUAGCUAACAUAAAGGUUGAAUGAACUAUAUGCUGACUGAUGCAGGAUUACCAAGUCUCGUAAAAAAGGACUUGUAAACUCGAUCUCAAAUCAAGUAAGACUACCCGCUGAACUUAAGCAUAUCAAUAAGCGGAGGCU
RNAcentral lists this unclassified non-coding RNA (461 nucleotides) under uncultured Mortierella. RNAcentral's name for it is "sequence contains ITS2". The stretch from base 1 to 154 matches the Rfam family "5.8S ribosomal RNA". The record is from RNAcentral. Lineage: Eukaryota; Fungi; Mortierellomycota; Mortierellomycetes; Mortierellales; Mortierellaceae.